This 465-nucleotide ribosomal RNA is filed under the name uncultured Klebsiella sp. RNAcentral's name for it is "bacterial SSU rRNA". It matches the Rfam family "Bacterial small subunit ribosomal RNA", at positions 338 to 795 of the family's 1533-position model. Lineage: Bacteria; Pseudomonadati; Pseudomonadota; Gammaproteobacteria; Enterobacterales; Enterobacteriaceae. The record is from RNAcentral.
CCUACGGGUGGCUGCAGUGGGGAAUAUUGCACAAUGGGCGCAAGCCUGAUGCAGCCAUGCCGCGUGUGUGAAGAAGGCCUUCGGGUUGUAAAGCACUUUCAGCGGGGAGGAAGGCGGUGAGGUUAAUAACCUCAUCGAUUGACGUUACCCGCAGAAGAAGCACCGGCUAACUCCGUGCCAGCAGCCGCGGUAAUACGGAGGGUGCAAGCGUUAAUCGGAAUUACUGGGCGUAAAGCACACGCAGGCGGUCUGUCAAGUCGGAUGUGAAAUCCCCGGGCUCAACCUGGGAACUGCAUUCGAAACUGGCAGGCUAGAGUCUUGUAGAGGGGGGUAGAAUUCCAGGUGUAGCGGUGAAAUGCGUAGAGAUCUGGAGGAAUACCGGUGGCGAAGGCGGCCCCCUGGACAAAGACUGACGCUCAGGUGCGAAAGCGUGGGGAGCAAACAGGAUUAGAUACCCUUGUAGUC